RNAcentral lists this ribosomal RNA (497 nucleotides) under uncultured bacterium. Its description in RNAcentral is "partial 16S ribosomal RNA". It matches the Rfam family "Bacterial small subunit ribosomal RNA", at positions 899 to 1397 of the family's 1533-position model. The record is from RNAcentral.
ACUCAAAUGAAUUGACGGGGGCCCGCACAAGCGGCGGAGCAUGUGGCUUAAUUCGAUGCGACGCGAAGAACCUUACCUGGGUUUGACAUGCACGGUAAUCCUUCAGAGAUGGAGGGUCCUUCGGGGCCGUGUACAGGUGGUGCAUGGCUGUCGUCAGCUCGUGUCGUGAGAUGUUGGGUUAAGUCCCGCAACGAGCGCAACCCUUGUUCCAUGUUGCCAGCACGUAAUGGUGGGGACUCAUGGGAGACUGCCGGGGUCAACUCGGAGGAAGGUGGGGAUGACGUCAAGUCAUCAUGCCCCUUAUGUCCAGGGCUGCACACAUGCUACAAUGGCUCAUACAGAGGGCUGCGAUGCUGCGAAGCUGAGCGAAUCCCUUAAAGUGAGUCUCAGUUCGGAUCGGGGUCUGCAACUCGACCCCGUGAAGUCGGAGUCGCUAGUAAUCGCAGAUCAGCAACGCUGCGGUGAAUACGUUCCCGGGCCUUGCACACACCGCCCGU